RNAcentral lists this ribosomal RNA (459 nucleotides) under uncultured bacterium. RNAcentral's name for it is "partial 16S ribosomal RNA". It matches the Rfam family "Bacterial small subunit ribosomal RNA", at positions 338 to 795 of the family's 1533-position model. The record is from RNAcentral.
CCUACGGGCGGCAGCAGUGAGGAAUAUUGGUCAAUGGGCGCGAGCCUGAACCAGCCAAGUAGCGUGCAGGAUGACUGCCCUACGGGUUGUAAACUUCUUUUAUAAAAGAAUAAAGUGAGGCACGUGUGCCUUUUUGUAUGUACUUUAUGAAUAAGGAUCGGCUAACUCCGUGCCAGCAGCCGCGGUAAUACGGAGGAUCCGAGCGUUAUCCGGAUUUAUUGGGUUUAACGGGUGCGUAGGCGGAGCGUUAAGUUAGUGGUAAAAUUGCGGGGCGAAACCCCUUCCCGCCAUUGAAACUGGCGCGCUUGAGUGGAAGAGAAGUAGGCGGAAUGCGUGGUGUAGCGGUGAAAUGCAUAGAUAUCACGCAGAACCCCGAUUGCGAAGGCAGCAUGCCGGCUUACUACUGACGUUGAAGCACGAAAGCGUGGGGAUCGAACAGGAUUAGAUACCCGUGUAGUC